This is a non-coding RNA of Paramarasmius palmivorus, 95 nucleotides long. The record is from the annotation of a GenBank genome assembly. NCBI's taxonomy places the organism in Eukaryota, Fungi, Basidiomycota, Agaricomycetes, Agaricales, Marasmiaceae.
GGCGAGAUGGCCGAGCGGUCUGAGGCGCUGGAAUCAGGUCAUGGUAUUGAUAAAUCCAGUCCGAAAGGGCGUGGGUUCGAAUCCCACUCUCGUCA